Molecule: long non-coding RNA, 8448 nt
Filed under: Mytilus galloprovincialis (Mediterranean mussel)
Lineage: Eukaryota; Metazoa; Mollusca; Bivalvia; Mytilida; Mytilidae
Source: RNAcentral
AAAUGGAGCUUUAAUUUGAUAAAUUUAAACAAAUUUUAGGUAAGAUUAAAUAAAGUAAUGUUAAAAUAAGCAUUUCUCAUCAGAUAUGAAAUAUCGGUUGCUCUUAUUACCAAUAAAACAUUCUUCCUUCCUUAUUUUACCUGCCUAAUUUUUCAAUUUAUAAUUUUACGAUUAUUUUUCUUCAGGAAAGCUUCGAGACAACUCGUUUUAAUCACAAACUCAUGUAUAAUGUAAAUGUAUAAUUCAUCAACACAAGGUGUUUAUAGUGAAAGGUUUUCAACAUGUUAUGAUAAUUUAUUCAUAGAAUGUAUAGACAAUGAGUCAAGGUUAUGCUUAAGAUGCAUUUCGGUUGUUUUAACUUGACUCGGGGUAGGCUGUUGUGAAAAUUUGACUUAACUUUCACACAUGAUCAGAGAUCAUUACAACUUGUAUAUGAAUAUAAAUAUGUCCGCCUGUUUUUAAUAUUAUUUUGAUGGUUGAAUAAUGGACUUCAAGUCUUAACCUCCUGUUUGCACCUGUACUAGUUCAUAUUCAUAUAAAAUCCGACUGGCCACGUUAUAACUGGUGACCUAAACAUUGUCAAUAACAGUUCCUUGUCAGUUACCAGAAACCUCGUCAGUGAUUGACAUAUGCUGGUCCCAUGUCAGUAUGCCGGUUCAAAGUCAAUAUCCUCGAAAGUAGUUUUUGUUUGCCGGUCCCAUGUCAGAAACUAUGUUUCAAGUUGUCGUAUGCCGUUUCCUAGUCAGAAAUCUCGUCAGACAUUGCUGUAUGCCAUACCACAGUCAGAAACCGCGUAACGGUAGUCAUCGAAUGCCAGUCCCAAGUCAGAAAUCUCGUCAGUGGUUAACAUAUGCCGGUCCCAUAUCAGUAACCUCAUCAGUAGUUGUUGUAUGCCGGUUCAAAGUCAAUAACCUCGAAAGUAGUUUUUGUAUGCCGGUUCCAUGUCAGGAACCUUGUCUUAAGUUGUCGUACGCCGUUUUCUAGUCAAAAACCUCGUCAAACAUUGCUGUAUGCCGGUCCACAGUCAGAAACCGCGUAACGGUAGUCAUCGAAUGCCAGUCCCAAGUAAGAAACCUUGUCAGUCAAUGCCAUGUGCCAGUCCUGUGUCAGGGACCUUGUAAGUAGUUACUGUAUGCCGUUCACAAGUCAGAAACGUCGUCAGUAAGGAGAUGUGGUAUGAUUGUCAAGAGAUGUGGUAUGAUUGUCAAUAAGGAGAUUGUGGUAUGAUUGUCAAUAAGGAGAUUGUGGUAUGAUUGUCAAUAAGGAGAUGUGGUAUGAUUGUCAAUAAGGUGUGGUAAUAAGGAGAUUGGUAUCAUUGUCGAUAAGGAGAUGUGUAUAAUUCAAUAGGGAGAUGUGGUAGAUGUGGUAUGAUUGUAAAUAAGGGGAUCGCUAGGAUUGCAAUAAGAUGUGUUAUGAUUGUCAACAAGGAGAUGUGGUAUCAAUGUCAAAAAGGAGAUGUGGUUUGAUUGUCAAUAAGGAGAUGCGGUAUGUUCAAUAAGGAGAUGUAAUAUGAUUAUCAAUAAGGAGAACUGGUAUGAUUAAUAAGGAGAAGAUGUAUGAUUGUCAAUAAGGAGAUGCUGUAUGAUUGUCAAAAGGAGGUUUGGUAUGAUUGUCGUAUAAAAAAAGAGAGAUGUGGUAUUGUUGUCAAUGUAAAAAUAAGGGAAUGGGGUAUGAUUGUCAAUUAGAAGAUUGGUAUGAUUGUCGAUAAGGAGGAGAUGUGGUGUGAUUGUCAAUAAGGAGGAUAUGUGGUAUGAUUGUCAAUAAGGAGAUGGUAUAUUGUCAUAAGGAGCAGGUAUGAUUGUCCAAUCAAGGGAGUGUGGUAUGAUUGUCAAGAGAGGAGAUGUGGUUAAUUAUCAAUAAGGAGGAGAUGUGGUAUGAUUGUAUUUGACAGGAGAUGUGGUGUGAUUGCAAUAAGGGUGAUGUGUAUGAUUGUAUAAUAAGUCAAUAAGGAGAUGUGGUAUGAUUGUCAAGAGAUGUGAUAUGAUUGUCAAUAAGGAGAUUGUGGUAUAAUUGUCAAUAAGGAGGAGAUGUGGUAUGAUUGUCAAUCAGGAGAUGUGGUGUGAUUGUCAAUAAGGAGGAGAUGUGGUAUGAUUGUCAAUAAGGAGAUUGGUAUCAUUGUCGAUAAGGAGAUGUGAUAUGAAUGUCAAUAGGGAGAUGUGGUAUGAUUGUCAAUAGGGAGAUGUGGUAUGAUUGUCAAUAAGGGGAUCGGUAGGACUGCCAGUAAGAUGUGUUAUGAUUGUCAAUAAGGAGAUGUAGUAUCAUUGUCAAAAAGGAGAUGUGGUUUGAUUGUCAAUAAGGAGAUGCAGUAUGUUCAAUAAGGAGAUGUGGUAUGAUUAAUAAGGAGAAGAUGUAUGAUUGUCAAUAAGGAGGUUUGGUAUGAUUGUCAUAUAAAAAAAGAGAUGUGGUAUUGUUGUCAAUGUAGAAAUAAGGGAAUGGGGUAUGAUUGUCAAUAAGGAGAUGUUGUAUGAUUGUCAAUAAGAAGAUAAGGUAUGACGGUCAAUUAAGAAAUGUGGUAUGAUUGUCAAUAAGGAGAUGUAGUAUGAUUUUCAAUAAGGAGAUAUGGUAUGAUUGUCAAUAAGAAGAUGCGGUAUGAUUGUCUGUAAGGAAAGUUGGCAUGAUUGUUAAUAUGGAUAUUUUGUUUGACCGUCAGUAAGGAGAUAAAGUAUGAUUAUUAAUCAAGGGAUAUGAUUGUCAAUACAAAUAUGUGCUAUGAUAGUCAAUACUGAGAUGUAACUUGUAAUAGUCAAUUAGGAGACGUAAUUUGAUUGCCAACAUAGAAAAUAGGAUGUUCUAUGAUUGUCAAUAAGAGGGGGGAGCAUCAUUGUCAAUAAAAUAAAGAAAUGUGGUUUGAUUGUCCAUUAGAAGAUGAAGUAUGAUUGUCAAUACGGUGAUGUGGUAUGGUUGUCAAUAAAACUAAAAAUCAUGCGUACAUAUAAAAUUAAGGAGAUAUAGUAUGAAAGUCAAUAAGAGUAGAAAGCCUGUGUAGAUAUAACAAGAAGGAGAUGUAAUAUGAUUGACAAUGACAGUAGAAAUCAUGUGUAGAUAUCAAAACAAGUAGAUCUGGUAUGGUUGUGAAUAAGAGUAGCAAUUAUGUGUAGAUAUAGCAAGAAGAAUAUUGGGAAUGGUUUUCAAUAAAGAGAGGUGGUAUAAUUGUCAAUAAAGAGAUAUGGUAUGAUUGUCAAUAAUGAGAUGUGGUAUGAUUGUCAAUAAGGAGAUGUAGUAUGAUUGUCGAUAAGGAGGAGAAGUGGUUUGAUUGUCAAUAAGGAGAUGUGUAAUGAUUGUCAAGAAGGAGAUUUAGUUUGAUUGUCAAUAAGAAGGAGAUGUGGUAUGAUUUUUAAUAAUGAAAUGUGGCAUGAUUGUCAAUAAAGAGAUGUAGUAUGAUUGACAAUAAGGAGGAGAAGUUGUAUGAUUGUCAAUAAGGGGAUGUGGUAUGAUUGUCAAUAAGGAGGAGAUGUGGUAUGAUUUUCAAUAAUGGAAUGUGGCAUGAUUGUCAAUUAGGAGAUGGGGUAUGGUUGUCAAUCAGAAGACGUUGAAUGGUUGUGUAGUUUAUGCUCUCUGUCAACCAGUUGAAAUAACCCUAGCAACAACUCUUUAAAGGGUCAAAAGCAACUAUAUUGCAAAGCAGUAUUUCUGCCCUGGCAGUAAAAUAUCCUGCCAUCAUUACAUUUGAACAACCUUGCAUAAACUAUACGCAUUAUACACAUUCAAAUUAAUGUUUGAAUUGUUCUUGUCCAGAAUUUGCACGAAAUAAUUGUCACUGAACUAAAAACCAACAAUCAUUCAAGCAACACCAAAAUCUCAACUAUAUAAACACCUGUCUAUUGUUGUUGACUGAAAUUCUUUAUAUCUCAUUUGAUUUUUUUUUGUCGUUGGGUUGCCUCUCAUUGACGCUUCAUUAUUAUCUUCUUUCAUUCCGACAAAAAAAUCAUCCAACAAAAUAGCUGCAAAAAAACGGAAAAAAAACCCAGAUCAAUCCGUUGUAUGUAUAAAACAGAAUAGAACAUUUUAUUCACUAAAUUAGGGUCCCAGUAGGGCAUAUAACACAUAAACAAUAUCAUUUUAAACAUUUGCAGAACAAUAAUACAUGCAAUGCAAUCUAGACAAUAGGGAUGGUGCUUGAUUUUCAUAUGGUGAGGACAUAAUCUUUCAAUCAGUUUAAUUGAGGUCAGGAGCUGGCAUGUCAGUAACUGCUAGUAGUUCUUUGUUAAUCUAUGUAUUAUUGUCAUUUUGCUUAGUUUCUUUUAUUACCUAUUCUGACAUCGGACUCGGACUUCUUGAAAUUGAUGAGACUGUCAUUAAAGUGAGAGGGUUAGCGCUAUAGAACCAGGUUUAAUCCACCAUUUUCUCAAUUGAAAAUGCCUGUACCAAGUCAGGAAUAUGACAGUUUUUGUCCAUUCGUUUUUGAUGCGUUUUGUUAUUUGAUUUUGCCAUGUGAUUAUGGACUUUCCAAAUUGAUCUUCCUCUAAGUUCAGUAUUUUUGUGAUUUUACUUUUUUCUUUUAAACUGAGUUUUACUGUGUGUAUUGCUGUGUGUUUCUUUAUUCUACAUUGACUAGAGGUAUAGUGGAGGGUUGAGAUCUCACAAAACAUGUUUAACCCCGCCGCAUUUUUGCGCCGGUCCCAAGUCAGGAGCCUCUUAAAAGAUUUUCUUCCCAUCCCCACUUAACCAGUUUUAAUGUUAUUGGCCGUCUGUAUAAUACAGUCAAGGAAAAAUCGCUACUAUACGUUUAUUUCUUUAUUAACUGUGGUUCUGUAUCUUCUGAGCAAUUUUUUUCUUGUUUUUGUUAUUUUUACGACAUUUGGUAGAGAUACAGAUCAUUGUACUAAGCACAAAACAAGAAAAAGACAAGAGACACAAAAUAUUGAUCUUUGAGUAUUUACGGUAUCUGUAAGUUAGUUCAAAGUCCUAAAUUUCAAAUUAUAAAUAAACCAUAUUUUAUUAUACUAAAAGGCCACCGAGAACCUGUCAAUUUAUAGUAUACGUAUAAACGUGAUCUAAAGGAUAAACACUCCUACUUCACAAAGGAAAAAUCGUCGGACAGUUUUUAGUAGUUGGGUGUCUCAUUAAAAAUAUAUUGAUAAGUAUUCUAAAUGGGAAUGGUCAGAGCAUAUUGGUUAGGAAAAUUAUAGUCCGUAUCGAGUCUCUUGGUCAUUAUAAUACACGAAUGGGACCUUAUAAUUGCAUGUUAAUAAAGAAACGGUCGAAACUGAAAAGUAUCAAUAAGCUACCGGUAAUGACUCGGGGAUUAUACAUUUCUAUUUGUAUAUACAGAAGGUAACAGAUUUAAAUAAAAAAAACCGUCGUAAAACCUAUGUGAAUACUUUAUGAAAGUUGAUUGUUUAUUGCUAGAUGCUUAACGUCCAGUGGCAAAUAGUUCUUGCCUGUACAGGACGAGAACAAAGUUAGAAUUAUAGAUACAAUAGGUACUGUAAUAGAGGCCGUCCGGGAUGAAGGUCGGGGAAAUUUGGACUGCCACUGGAAAAUGAGGGUAUAUUGGAUAGAGACAGAAAUUUUGCCUUGCAAAAGGCCACCUACGGACCCCUCAAAUUUGUUGUUGUAAGGGUUUUUAAGUUGAAAGGAGCGCGGCACCCUUUUAACACGAGGCAUCGGAUUUAACGUCUCCAAUUUGACCGGGGGUGACUUCAAACUUGUACAUCCCUCACAGGUAAAUACACAAUAUAAAAAAGAAGAUGUGGUAUGAUUGCCAAUGAGACAACUCUCCACAAGAGACCAAUGAACACAGAAAUUAACAACUAUAGUUUACCGUAAGGCCUUCAAAUGAACAAAGCCAUACCGCAUAGUCAGCUAUAAAAGGCCCCGAAAUGAUAAUGUAAAACAAUUCAAACGUGAAAACUAACGGCUUUAUUUAUGUACAAAAGAUGAACGAAAAACAAAUAUGUAACACAUAAGCAAACGACACCACUGAAUUACAGGCUCUACUUGGGACAGGCACAUACAUACAUAACGUGGCGGGGUUAAACAUGUUAGCGGGAUCCAAACUCCCCCUAACCUGGGACAGUGGUAUAACAGUACAACAUAAGAACGAACUAUAAAACAGUUGAAAAGGGCUUAACUCAUCAGAUGGCAAAAAUACAGUGGACGUACGCGUGCCGGGUACUUGUACAUCCAACAACAAAAGACACUAGGUACAGAUCUUAGAGUACUCGCAGUUAACUGACAGCUAGUUCAAAACUAACAACUAAUAAAAAAUCAUGCUCUAAGACUAAAUAUCAAUCCGUACACAUCCAACAUCCAAUGGAUUUAGUGUAAAGACGUUAUAAACAGUCAGAGAAAAAACAUUACCUUUUGCAAUGCCAAGAUACAGGUAUCGACAGAUUGUAGAUCCAUGAAUGUGUAUAUGUAUAUAACAUACUAGUAAUAGUUAGUAUGCUUUUAAUUUACUGAUAACAAAAAUCAAUAUUCAUACAAAUAAAAACAAUAUUCAAUGAUCUUAUUACAGUGUUGAAUUGGUAACCUUUCAGAAUAAGUUUAUUUAAAGGAGCGAUAAGUUUACCAGGAUCAUUUCUAAAUUUCCGAGCACGGUUAACAACAUUUCCGUAAAAAUGUUUGAAAUAAGCACGUUGACUCAAUGAUAGUAACCUGUUUUAAUAUAAUGUAUCAAUAUAUACAUGAAAUUCCUUUUUAAUAUGUAUGUUGCAGGAUCAUGGCCAGUAAUUGGCGUCUUUGUGGUUUUUGUGAUAGUAUUCAGAUGAACAAAUCAUCAGUAGUCUGGUGCUUUGAAUGUGACGAAGGACUAUGCGAAGAUUGUAGGGAACAUCACUUUAUUUUAAAUGGAACAAACCACGAAACUGUUUCCAUCGAUGCGAACAAAAAGUUACCAACCGAAGUCCUGCAAAUCGUUCAAGUCUGUAAAAAACAUAAUGAGAAAUUCGAGCUUUUCUGUAGAAAACACGACUGUCCGUGCUGUAAGAAAUGUGUGAAAUUUCACAACGAUUGUAAAGAUUUAACCGACAUUAAUGAAAUCAUAAAAAACGUCAAAACCUCCAACGCCUUUUACGAAAUCGAACAAAACCUGCAUGAAGUCAUCGAGAAUAUUAAAAGACUCAGCACUAACCGAAAAGAAAAUUUGAAAUCGCUAGAAAACAAGAAAAUAGAAAUUAAAGCAGAAAUAAAACACACUAGAACCAAAGUAAAUGAUCACCUAGAUAAACUUCAGGAUGAUUUGAUGAAAGAAUUAAUUACAGUUGAACAAAAAGAAAAUAUCAAAAUACAAAAAUUGUUGACUACUCUGAAAAAGAAGGAAAAAGAGAUCACGGAAGUACAAGAAAAUAUAACUAGUAUUAAACAGCAUGCGUCCGAACUUCAAACAUUUUUAACCAUGAAAGAUAUCGAAAAAGAUAUUCUCGCGAAGAAAGAAAUAUUCAAUCGCUUAGUACAAGUGACACCACAAAUCAAGUCAAUAUUUCAUGUCAAAUUGACAAGUCUUUACAGCAAAUCACAGCCAGCGUACAGAAGUUUGGAGAAAUUAAUGUCUGUUUUGGUCUAUGUGAUUUUUCCAUUCAGAAAAAAAAGGAGAGACAAGCCCAAAUUAUGGUAGAAACCAGAAAUUUCGAUAACGUGACUUUGACGUUACAGAAACGUAUCAAUACAAAGUUGUCAGGUGUCCAUGGUUUUUCUUUCCUACCUAAUGGAAGAAUGGUAUUCUCUUGUUAUGACCAAAAUAAAAUAAGAGUACUCAAGUCUGACGGAUCAAAGGAUUUCGAAAGAAAUAAAAUUGGUCUUACGUUUGAUGUGGUAUUUAUUGGUGAUGGUUCUAUUGCUGUCACAUCUGCAAAAUCAGAUAAGAUUAAUAUAAUUGACUUAAAGAAUCACAAACUGAAGAAAUCAAUAGAAGUUAAAUCAUACAAUGGUGGAGCAGUAUACAAAGACGGACAUUUGAUUUAUUGUGCCAGGAAGAAAGGACUACAGAUGAUUAGUCUUAGUGAUGAAUCCAUAACCAAUGUUAUCAAAAACAAACUUCCGACAUGGUCGUACGUUACAACAUUCGGUGACAAACUGUUCUACACAAACUGUGAAAAUGAAAGUGUAACCUGUUGUGAUUACCAUGGUAACAUACUGUGGACAUUCUGUGACACAAAUGUUCUGGAGUUUCCACUCGGUAUCUGUGCAGACAAUGAUGGUAACGUAUUUGUGGUGGGAUAUCUUACUCACAACGUAGUCGUCAUCUCAGCUGAUGGACGACGCUAUAGACAACUUUUAUCACGUAAUGAGGGACUGAACAGACCCACGGUGCUGCAUUAUGAUCAAUCUACCAAUCAAUUGUUAGUAGCAAAUAGAGCGAAUGACGCGUUCUUGUAUGACGUUAAUUAUUAGUAGUGUUGUUAAUGGUUCCAGUAUUCGUCUUAAGACUAGAUUACUGACUAUAUGUCAAAUAGAUCAAUUGGUUUUAUCUAAAUUUGUUUGCAUUUAUAUUCCUUGCUAAUCGGG